Molecule: long non-coding RNA, 690 nt
Organism: Nicotiana attenuata
Lineage: Eukaryota; Viridiplantae; Streptophyta; Magnoliopsida; Solanales; Solanaceae
Exons: 3
Source: RefSeq, a predicted model, not a curated record
UUCCACUUUCAAUAUUUUCUAUACUUCAUCACAAAUUCUCUUUCAUUUUCUUGCACUCCUCCCAGCUGAUGUGGUGCUAAAAAUUAGGGCUUAUCUUUACAAAAUUAUCAAUUCGCAUACGUUGCUGCUUUACCGGUUGUUCAUCAUUUGCACAAAUGAAUAUAAAAGGGGGAUUAACAGAUGAAAUUCAAAUCUCGAAGAUUUGAAGGCAAAUGCUUCCUUGGACAAAAGUCAAGAAUAUGAGCAUAUACAACAAUUUCUAAUAAUAUGUUGGCAUCCUUAGUUUAGCUAAGGCGCAAAAUUUAGCAGAUAUUUGUGCAUGUAAUAGAAUUUUGCACAGACACAAAUUCCUUCUCAGAAGUAUUUGAAACAUGACUUUUGGAUGUAGCAAAUGCCAAAUCAGUUAAGAACGGCAGUUGUAGUUGUGAGUACUAAAGAUGGUCCAUCUGGUAGAUUUCUUGAAGGUUAUGACUGGACCGACGAUAUAGAGACUCGAUAGGUUGAAGGAAAGAAUAGCAUAUGUCACUUUAAAAAUAUUGUUGUAUUGAGGACCAUAUGAGCAAAUACCAGACUUUUCGACAUAUGCUUCUACUCCUUUGUGAAGAAUUUCUAUGAAGGUCAAUAAAAAUGUAUGAUCAACCUGAUUAAUUUUUUUAAGGGUUUCUAUUCACUACUAUAAUUUUCUAGGCA